GGCAUUGUAGCUCAGUUGGUUAGAGCAUACGGUUCAUACCCGUAGGGUCGGUGGUUCGAAUCCACCCAAUGCCA
This 74-nucleotide transfer RNA is filed under the name Candidatus Melainabacteria bacterium. Its description in RNAcentral is "tRNA-Met". It matches the Rfam family "tRNA". From Rfam's summary of the family: Transfer RNA (tRNA) molecules are approximately 80 nucleotides in length. Their secondary structure includes four short double-helical elements and three loops (D, anti-codon, and T loops). Lineage: Bacteria; Bacillati; Candidatus Melainabacteria. The record is from RNAcentral. RNAcentral also lists the same sequence under 2 other names.